GAUGAACGCUGGCGGCGUGCCUAAUACAUGCAAGUCGAGCGAACAGACGCGGCUCUUGCUCCUCUCUCGUUAGCGGCGGACGUGUGUGUAACACGUGUAUCCCCUCCUUAUCAGUCUGGUAUCUUUUCGGGACUCCGGCUCUAAUCCCGUAUAAUAUCUUGCUCCGUAUUGUUCGAUAGUGAAAUACGGUUUUUCUGUCUCUUCUCGCUGCUUCUGGGCUGCUUUAGCUAGUUGUUACGUUAACGGCUUACCACGGCGACGAUGCGUAGCCGACCUGAGGGGGUGAUAGGCCACACUGGAGCUGAGACGCGGUCCAGACGCCUACGGGAGGCAGCAGUAGGGAAUCGGACGCAAUGGGCGAAAGCAUGACGGAGCAAGGCCGCGUGAGAGAUGAAGGUCUUGGGAGCGUAAAACUCUGUUAUUAGGGAAGAACAAAUGUGGAAGUAACUAUGCACGGAGUGACGGUACCUAAUAAGAAAGCCACGGCUAACUACGUG
Molecule: ribosomal RNA, 497 nt
Filed under: uncultured bacterium
Lineage: Bacteria
Description: partial 16S ribosomal RNA
Rfam family: Bacterial small subunit ribosomal RNA
Source: RNAcentral